GACCCCGCACAAGCGGCGGAGCAUGCGGCUUAAUUCGAUGAUACCCGUAGAACCUUACCUGGACUUGACAUAUAGGGAAAAACUAAAGAAAUUUAGUGUGCGUAAGCGCCCUAUACAGGUGGUGCAUGGCUGUCGUCAGCUCGUGUCGUGAGAUGUUGGGUUAAGUCCCGCAACGAGCGCAACCCUUGUCCUAUGUUGCCAGCGGAUAAUGCCGGGGACUCGUAGGAGACUGCCGGGGUCAACUCGGAGGAAGGUGGGGACGACGUCAAGUCAUCAUGCCCCUUAUAUCCAGGGCUGCAAACAUGCUACAAUGGCCGGUACAGAGGGCUGCGAGACCGCGAGGUUUAGCGAAUCCCACAAAGCCGGUCUCAGUUCGGAUUGGAGUCUGCAACUCGACUCCAUGAAGGCGGAGUCGCUAGUAA
Molecule: ribosomal RNA, 422 nt
Filed under: uncultured bacterium
Lineage: Bacteria
Description: bacterial SSU rRNA
Rfam family: Bacterial small subunit ribosomal RNA
Source: RNAcentral